RNAcentral lists this ribosomal RNA (790 nucleotides) under Salmonella enterica subsp. enterica. RNAcentral describes it as "partial 23S ribosomal RNA". It matches the Rfam family "Bacterial large subunit ribosomal RNA", at positions 757 to 1547 of the family's 2925-position model. The record is from RNAcentral. Lineage: Bacteria; Pseudomonadati; Pseudomonadota; Gammaproteobacteria; Enterobacterales; Enterobacteriaceae.
UAACACUAACUGGAGGACCGAACCGACUAAUGUUGAAAAAUUAGCGGAUGACCUGUGGCUGGGGGUGAAAGGCCAAUCAAACCGGGAGAUAGCUGGUUCUCCCCGAAAGCUAUUUAGGUAGCGCCUCGUGAAUUCAUCUCCGGGGGUAGAGCACUGUUUCGGCUAGGGGGCCAUCCCGGCUUACCAACCCGAUGCAAACUGCGAAUACCGGAGAAUGUUAUCACGGGAGACACACGGCGGGUGCUAACGUCCGUCGUGAAGAGGGAAACAACCCAGACCGCCAGCUAAGGUCCCAAAGUCAUGGUUAAGUGGGAAACGAUGUGGGAAGGCCCAGACAGCCAGGAUGUUGGCUUAGAAGCAGCCAUCAUUUAAAGAAAGCGUAAUAGCUCACUGGUCGAGUCGGCCUGCGCGGAAGAUGUAACGGGGCUAAACCAUGCACCGAAGCUGCGGCAGCGACGCUGAUGCGUUGUUGGGUAGGGGAGCGUUCUGUAAGCCUGCGAAGGUGGCCUGUGAGGGUUGCUGGAGGUAUCAGAAGUGCGAAUGCUGACAUAAGUAACGAUAAAGCGGGUGAAAAGCCCGCUCGCCGGAAGACCAAGGGUUCCUGUCCAACGUUAAUCGGGGCAGGGUGAGUCGACCCCUAAGGCGAGGCCGAAAGGCGUAGUCGAUGGGAAACGGGUUAAUAUUCCCGUACUUGGUGUUACUGCGAAGGGGGGACGGAGAAGGCUAUGUUGGCCGGGCGACGGUUGUCCCGGUUUAAGCGUGUAGGUGUGUGUUCCAGGUAAAUCCGGUU